AUUGAACGCUGGCGGCAGGCCUAACACAUGCAAGUCGAGCGGAUGAAGGGAGCUUGCUCCUGGAUUCAGCGGCGGACGGGUGAGUAAUGCCUAGGAAUCUGCCUGGUAGUGGGGGAUAACGUCCGGAAACGGGCGCCAAUACCGCAUACGUCCUGAGGGAGAAAGUGGGGGAUCUUCGGACCUCACGCUAUCAGAUGAGCCUAGGUCGGAUUAGCUAGUUGGUGGGGUAAAGGCCUACCAAGGCGACGAUCCGUAACUGGUCUGAGAGGAUGAUCAGUCACACUGGAACUGAGACACGGUCCAGACUCCUACGGGAGGCAGCAGUGGGGAAUAUUGGACAAGGGGCGAAAGCCUGGUCCAGCCAUGCCGCGUGUGUGAAGAAGGUCUUCGGAUUGUAAAGCACUUUAAGUUGGGAGGAAGGGCAGUAAGUUAAUACCUUGCUGUUUUGACGUUACCAACAGAAUAAGCACCGGCGAACUUCGU
This 483-nucleotide ribosomal RNA is filed under the name uncultured bacterium. Its description in RNAcentral is "partial 16S ribosomal RNA". It matches the Rfam family "Bacterial small subunit ribosomal RNA", at positions 30 to 506 of the family's 1533-position model. The record is from RNAcentral.